This 549-nucleotide ribosomal RNA is filed under the name Phyllopteryx taeniolatus (common seadragon). RNAcentral describes it as "partial 16S ribosomal RNA". It matches the Rfam family "Bacterial large subunit ribosomal RNA", at positions 1816 to 2578 of the family's 2925-position model. The record is from RNAcentral. Lineage: Eukaryota; Metazoa; Chordata; Actinopteri; Syngnathiformes; Syngnathidae.
CGCCUCUUGUAAUACCAAAAUAAGAGGUCCCGCCUGCCCUGUGACUAUAUGUUUAACGGCCGCGGUAUUUUGACCGUGCGAAGGUAGCGCAAUCACUUGUCUUUUAAAUAGAGACCUGUAUGAAUGGCACGACGAGGGCUUAACUGUCUCCUUAUCCAAGUCAAUGAAAUUGAUCUUCCCGUGCAGAAGCGGGUAUAACAACAUAAGACGAGAAGACCCUAUGGAGCUUUAGAUGAAUGGUAAAUUACGUAAGAAACCUUGAUUAAAAGAAUAAACUAAGUAAACAUUACCCAAAUAUCUUUGGUUGGGGCGACCGCGGGGUAAAACAUAACCCCCGUGAGGAGCGAGGUAUAAACCUUAAAACUACGAGCACCAGCUCUAAGUAUCAAAACAUUUGACCUUUAGAUCCGGCAUAGCCGAUCAACGAACCGAGUUACCCUAGGGAUAACAGCGCAAUCCUCUUUCAGAGUCCCUAUCGACAAGAGGGUUUACGACCUCGAUGUUGGAUCAGGACAUCCCAAUGGUGCAGCCGCUAUUAAAGGUUCGUUU